Molecule: ribosomal RNA, 424 nt
Filed under: uncultured bacterium
Lineage: Bacteria
Description: bacterial SSU rRNA
Rfam family: Bacterial small subunit ribosomal RNA
Source: RNAcentral
AGAGUUUGAUCCUGGCUCAGGACGAACGCUGGCGGCGUGCCUAACACAUGCAAGUCGAGCGGGAACCUGUGAAGGGGUAACCCUCCGCAGGGGAGAGCGGCGAACGGGUGAGUAUCACGUGGGCAACCUGCCCCGGACACCGGGAUAACCCAGGGAAACCUGAGCUAAUACCGGAUACUCCGGCGCGAUCGCAUGGUCGCUCCGGGAAAGCUCCGACGGUCCGGGAUGGGCCCGCGGCCUAUCAGCUUGUUGGUGGGGUAACGGCCCACCAAGGCGACGACGGGUAGCUGGUCUGAGAGGACGGCCAGCCACACUGGGACUGAGACACGGCCCAGACUCCUACGGGAGGCAGCAGUGGGGGAUAUUGCGCUAAUGCGCGAAAGCGUGACGCAGCGACGCCGCGUGGGGGAUGAAGGCCUUCGGG